ACACAGCCAGAUCUUAUCUCAAAAAGGUGCCAGGGGCGAUGGUACGCUUGCAGGGAGAAGGGAAGCCAAGAUGGUCAGCCACGGGGAAGCUCAUCCACGGAGGGAAAGCUCAAUUCGAUCUCCAGCUGACCGCUUCGGCAGUUUCCACAGACUGUUUGAAAGCUCCCACUCGCUGCUGCCCUCCACCAUGCUUCGCCCGCCGUCUCUGUCAUGUUUUGAAUCCCGGAUUUGAUAGAUGUCUAUCUGCUGUUUUUGUCUGUCAUUUGCUGCUUACUCUUUUGCUUGCUACAUAAUGAAUAAACUCACAUAUUGGAAACUAAA
Molecule: long non-coding RNA, 321 nt
Filed under: Mus pahari (shrew mouse)
Lineage: Eukaryota; Metazoa; Chordata; Mammalia; Rodentia; Muridae
Description: lncRNA (MGP_PahariEiJ_G0002953.1)
Source: RNAcentral